Acanthosepion pharaonis is the source of this 103-nucleotide non-coding RNA. NCBI's taxonomy places the organism in Eukaryota, Metazoa, Mollusca, Cephalopoda, Sepiida, Sepiidae. The record is from the annotation of a GenBank genome assembly.
CCAUAACAUGUUAAAACACUGGUUCUCAUAUGAUCACCAAAGUUAAGCUACAUUGAGCCUGGUCAGUACCUAGGUGGGUGACCACUUGGGAAUACCACAUGCU